GAUGAACGCUAGCGGAGGCUUAACACAUGCAAGUCGAGGGGCAGCAUAGGGUAGCAAUACUCUGAUGGCGACCGGCAAACGGGUGAGUAACGCGUAUGCAACCUACCCUGUACAGGGGGAUAACCCGGAGAAAUUCGGACUAAUAUCCCGUAAUAAUAUCCGGAGGCAUCUUUGGAUAUUUAAAGUUUCGACGGUACGGGAUGGGCAUGCGUAACAUUAGCUGGUUGGUAAGGUAACGGCUUACCAAGGCUAUGAUGUUUAGGGGUCCUGAGAGGGUGGUCCCCCACACUGGUACUGAGACACGGACCAGACUCCUACGGGAGGCAGCAGUGAGGAAUAUUGGUCAAUGGGCGCAAGCCUGAACCAGCCAUCCCGCGUGCAGGAAGACGGCCCUAUGGGUUGUAAACUGCUUUUCCAGGGAGAGAAACUUACGCACGUGUUGCGUGACUGACGGUACCCUGGGAAUAAGCAUCGGCUAACUCCGUG
Molecule: ribosomal RNA, 486 nt
Filed under: uncultured bacterium
Lineage: Bacteria
Description: bacterial SSU rRNA
Rfam family: Bacterial small subunit ribosomal RNA
Source: RNAcentral